Rattus norvegicus (Norway rat) is the source of this 8251-nucleotide non-coding RNA. The record is from RefSeq and is a predicted model, not a curated record. Lineage: Eukaryota; Metazoa; Chordata; Mammalia; Rodentia; Muridae.
ACAUUUAUAUACAAUUCUUGCAUUUCUGAAUCUCGGUGACUGAGAGAGACACUUGUGAUAAAAAGAAAGGGAAGUCGUUGUAGGUAAAUAUUUUUGAGAGGGCAUCCUUCUUGUUGUCCGUUGCUUGCAGAACCUGUCAGUGUUUAUGCGGGGGCUUUGUGUUACUAGAAUCUUCAGAGGUGAGGUGUGAGCAGGACUGGAGGAAGGGUGAGCUGCUUUUUAUGUCUGUAUGGUGACAUUUACCAUGCUGUUUAAAUCUGUAUCUGUUAAAAAAAAAAAAGAAAGAAAGAAAAUAGAAUUUCUGUUUGACGAUAGUAACGUUUUGUGCAAGGCAGAGCAUAUGGCUGUGCAGAAUUCAAGUGGCGUUCUUUUAUUUUUAAUUUGUAAUUAUUUUUACAUUCAACUGUACUGAGGUCAGAGAGUUUUAAAAAUUAAUGAGAUUCCCUGUGGAGUUCAAAUAGUAAUAUCUACGUGAGCCUCCACAAAGAGAUAAGAUUAGGCCAGUAUAUAUGUAUUUUUUUCUUUCUUUCUUUCUUUUUUUUUUUUUUUUUUUGGCCAUGAUUUGGCUGUCUUACUUUGAAUACACGCCAUCUGAAGCAUAUGUAGGGUUCAAUAGUUUCUGGGAGUUGGUGUGAUUUGGAAGACUAGCCCUUAAUUUAUUGUUUAGUGACCAAGAGGCAUGGAGCCCCAGUUAGACUGCUGAGGAUGAACACUGUUAGGUGGGGACAUUCCUAAAACUUCACAGACUUUAUUGUCAUGACAAUGGAGCGAGUCUUAGACUUUCGAGGAAAGAGCAAAUGAUAAAUGAGGCAACGUGCUAAGAAGAAGAAGAAAAAGAAAAUCUGCGAAUGUGGCUUUAUUUUAAGUACUGUGUGAAAAUUCUAGGUAAAGACAGUUAUUUAGGAUCAAAGCUUGCUGGUCUGAACAAAGAGGCAAAGAUCCGCACAGGUGAAAAUUCUUUGCCACAAAAUGAAUCUAGAGCAUAGAUUAAGGGCAGGAAGUGAUUUGGUGAUUCACUAUUUUAUUUUAUUAUUAUUUUUUUAACCUUUAUUCUUGCCCCAUAAAGGUAGUUCACUGGGUUGAGUCCAGGCAUUUACAACUUUGAUUUCCCACAAUUUAAAAGCAUUGUUUGUGUGUCCGUGGUCUAAGACGCUGUUUAUAGGAGAGGCACUGAGAAGUAGUCUGAACAGAGGGUAAUCUGGGCUUCCAUUUACAAGAUCCAUUCAGGUCUUCCUGUGAUAUAUUGUUAUGUAAAUACUUUUCGGCCAGGGAGAGCUGGGCUAUGGAGAUUCAAUUUACUUUGAAAGUUGUUCAUUAUAGCAAGGAUGAAUGUUAUUUAUUUGAUGCGAUUCAAAGACUGGAAAUGACUUUUUCAUUGUGGUACUUUUUGUGAUGGGUCCAGGGUGAUCUAAUCUUUUUAAUUUUGGCUUUCACACCAGUGGAGAUGAAAAGAGAUCUGAACUCAUUUAUCGGUUGCUAGGUCUUUCUGGAAGCCCAAGUUCUGUUUGUGGUUGCUAUGGUCAGGCUGACCUCAAUCUCUGUGGUUUGAGGGACUUAAGCAGUCAUUUUUUUUCUUUUCUUUUCUUUUCUUUUUUUUUUUUAAUUGAGGAGCAUGUACCUUGAUUUAUGUCCAAAACUGUAGCUGAAUGUCUUUGUCUGCGGGUGAUAUAUGGUGCAGAACAAUUCAUCUGUUCUUACGAGUAAACACCGCUGUCCCACUAAAAAUAUGUUUUGUUCGGAGUUAAUGGUAUGGAACAAGGCAUUCUCCACAAAUAGCUAUCUUUUAUUGUGUUGGGGCCGCGGAAACGCUGAGCAAAGUGCAGGAAAUUGGCAUCAGUCCUCGCGUCUAUUAGCAUUUCAUUUGUGAGUCGCAUGAUAAGACCGGUAGGUGGACAGAGGGAGCCAGGAAGGGUUGUUUCGACAUCUUCACUUUCUCAACUGGGACCGCCUAGCCUGACCCGCAUUCGCCAGGACCCAGUAAGUCAGCGUUAGUUCCCCCUGACCCGGUGAGCAUCGUUUCGCCCAAGCGCUAAAGCACACCCAGGCGGACGUGCUGAGGCUCAGCGCUGGGGACCGGUAUUCUUAGGCUCCUUGAGGGAAAGUUGCUGGGUCCGAUCUCGGCACCACCCAGGACUGUAAUGUCUAUGCGCUACUGAAUGGUCCCCGGUCGCCUGCUUUCUAGACUCUUGUUAGAAAGGAGCCCGGGUGAAUCAGAGGCUAUGGAGAACGCAGCCCAAUUCAGCAGAUGAGCCGGAAUACAGUCCUGCUCCCUUAAAAACUGCUAAUUGAUGGAUGCUGCGGGGGAACAGACACCGCGAACGAGGGCAAAAUAGGAAUCAGGAGAGGCACGUAUUGCCGAUAGCACCACCGAUUUCCUUCUCAAAGCAGCUUGCACGGACUAUCCUCAGGAAAAUGAGAUCCAGGAGAAGUGACGCCCUCCUCGAACUGAAAGAUACUCAUGCUAAUGGUGUCACGGAAGAAGCGAUGUAUCGACAGCUCAGGAUGGCUGCAGGGGACAUAUUCAGACGUGGCCCAGAUUGUCUGCCCAUGGGGACUGAGAUACCUCUGAGAUUUAUAUCAGAUCUCCACAGUCUUUGUCGCUGUAUUUUGUUAGAAAGAAAGGCGAGGCUGUUUCUACAGGUGCCACAGAAAAAUCGAUGCCGAGUCACGGAUUAUUGGAUCCCACAGAACCAUGGAGACUUGGCGGUGAAAUUCUUCUAAAGUUUCUUCUGGCUAUCAGAGAGUUGAAAGGGGAAAAAAAAAUAAAGAGCCAAAGCUGUUUCAACUUCUUGGUUGUUUUACUCCAUGGCUUAGCAUUCCAUCUGCGCAGGCAGAGGUGUUCCUGGUUUGGGAAGUAUAAAUCCCGCGGGAAGUCAACUGGAGAACAUUUUACGCGUCCGUCACUCAUCCUAUUAUGAGCCUGCUGCUCUUCCUUCUCUGGACAAGCCUAAACUUUAAGAUUUGCUGAACAAACCUUGUGUCAAAUUUGGACCACCUAGACAGUAUUCCACCCUGAUUGUAUCCCAUGUCACUAUUCUGUGCAAGGCCACCGACUAGAAGAGCACAGAAUUAUUAAAAAGAAAACAAAAAAAAAAACCAAAAAAAACACAGCUGAAAGUGAACGUCUUUGGAUUUCCCAUUUAAUGAGUUGGCAGCUAAAGGACAGGAGCAGCAAUAAGGCUGCCUGGCUACAUUUUCAUAGUGCCACCAACUGCGAGUUAAGCUGACAAACAUUUUGAGAGCUCGGCCCAUUUCAUUCACAGCAGGAUGGCAGGAGUUAACUAACACUGUAAAAAAAACCUAACUAAAAAUCGUGCCUUUACUGCACAUUUGCACAGAAUCUCAGGACUGAAAGUGUCGAAGUUCUGCUCGACAAGCGGGUGACUGAUUGUCCCUGCCAGCUGGCUAAUAUCAUAAUUAGCAAAGUUGCUACCACAUCUGCAAAGUUUAAUCGAAAAAUUUACCAGUGGUAUGAUGGCAUUGUCACCAUGAUCCCAAGGGAAUCGGAGUCGACUUCUGCUUCAGGAGGAACGGCAAGGCUGUAUAGCUGAGAUGAGAAAUUGUAAACUUGCUCAGCCAAAGGUUAUGCUUCGCAUCACCCACCAGGGAGGAUCAUCUCUCAUGAAAACUUUCAAAUUUGAUUUUGAAAAUUUAUUCAGAAAAAUUUAAGCCACGCUCUUUUUCAACACAGAAAAUAAUAUGCUCCAGAGAAUCCUCUAAUUCACAGAAAAUGGACUCGGAUAACAUUUGGGUUCUCAUACUACCACAGUUCUCUUGAGAAGGACAGCCAGGAGGCUAAUAAUGAAGGGGCCAGGGAAGGAGGCCAAUGCUACAAGGGUUAUCUCUCAACCUCAGAUGUUGGAUAAGUCAGGGAACAGCGUCGUUUCUGGAUGGCUUCAGACAGGCCGGACUGACUGUUUGGAAGAGAAAAACCUGCUUAUUCUUUCAAAGGUACAUGAAUGUUGUCCACACCUUCCCGUCUAAAGGUUAGAAUCUUGCCUUAGACAAAGGAUGCUCUUGGAGUCCCACCACACCUAAAACCACGCUUUGAAGGAUCUGCCAAGCUCACUUUUAAUCAUGAGAAAGAAAUUACCCACAUGGAGACAGCAGAAAAUGAGAAAGGAGAGAUCGUGCUGCGAAUAAUUCCAGCGAGUGCCAAGGGGCUAGUUGAGGAAUGGCUUCAUGAGGUGAAUAUCUUAGCUUGUACUUAGAAUUUGGUUAGCGUAUAAUCAGUUUCUCUUUUAGGAGCGAAUACAAUCCUAAGUGUAUUUCCCAUCUGAGCACCGCUCAGGGCAUUUAUCAGGAUGUUGACAUAUUUAAUAUCGGCCUCGUCCUCGCCGUUAUUUAUGAUGACUAAUUUUACACUUAUAAAUAUGCAGAAAUCGAUGUAGGUGGAAAGGCUCUCUGAGCCCCAUGUCUGUCGCUAGCCGUCUGUCUUCAUGUGCAGCGCUCUGCUAGUGUGGCCUGUCCAGUAAUGUGUGUCUCUGUGUAUGUGCGUGCUCUUGUUGUCUCCUCUCCGCUGUGAAUGUGCAUUGGGAGAAUUAGCCUUAUGACAGGAUAUCAAAAGAUGGGCCCAAGACUUUCAUUUUUGGAAUGGAAAGAAAAAAUAAUGCGUAACACUUUGUAUCACAUCAGUUUCAAUUCUUCCUGAGAGGGAGGGGGCCAAUCAGGUAUGAGUCAUCACAGGGCAAAGCAACCAGGAUUCAAAUUGAACAUCACCUUCAGUGUCAAAUUAGUUGAAAGUCCCCCUUUUCCUUUACGGUGACUGGCUGAAACCCCUGCCAUUAUGUCUGUUUGUUUUAAAAGGGUGGGGGGAGCUGCCUGAGUUCAUCCACAGUGCCAUGUAGCUUUUCUUUGUUUCAUUUUUCUAAGGAUCAGAUCCAAGAAAAAUAAUAGGUUAGUAAUUCAAGACCAUCACUACUUACACGGUUCUCUCCCGGGCAUGUCAUUUCUUUGGGUGCCAAGUUUCAUCAAGAUCACUAAGUAAACAAAUGAGCGAUAACUUUUUUGCUCCUUUUUUCUUUUAAUUUGACUAGGGAGUAAGAACUGGGAAAGUCAAGUGUCUUUAUGAGUCACAGAGGAAGAAUGCAGGAACCCCCACCCCCACCCCCCAACUUCUGGUCUCAGACUUUGAUUUCCCACACAACCAAGUCACGGGAUCGCCAUGCCAACCUUAAGCAAUUUUGGCUCCCAGCAAUCCUGUGCUGGGGAAUCUUUCAAACUACCCUUCAAUCCGGGUCCAAAGGGCCACAGCACAGACUAGUAGAAAGAGUGCAUUAUCUGAGAAAGCACCAGGCUGCUUUCCCAUUGGUAUAUGUGUUUGGUGCCACGGUUAAGCACCGCUGGGGUCUAAUACGUGGAUGACCCCCUUUAUAGAGUGUGGGGGCUUCUGAGGAAAAGGCAAGCAUUGACUAAGAAAAAGAGUCAUUCUUCCAUGUGUUUUCAUAAAAGGACAAGGCAGGCCUCUUUGAGAGCUUCUGAAAGAGAAGAGGCAUGGGAGGAGAUGAGCCAGCUGGGGGUGGGUUGUUUUGGGGAGGGGAGCCAGCUGGGGAAUGGAGAGAGAGAGAGAGAGGCUGGGGAGAUAGCCAGCUGGGAGAAGAGGUAGGAUAAAGCCAAGGCACAAAGGUACAGGCAGAUGAGCAGCUGUGUUUAUUUGAAUACAUAUCAUUUAACCCUCACCUAAAAACAAAUUGGAGAGGUUUGGGAGUGCAUUAAUCUGGACCCAAUUAGCAUGUCUUUCCCCUUCAAAAGGUGCAACCUGAGAUUAAUGAAUAUCAACCAGAGUUUCAGAAGCAGCACUUAAAUCAUUUGCAUGUUUGUGCAUGAUAAUUGGAUUUAUGUAUGCACUUCCUUUCAUUUAACUAUUUCCAGUCUCCUUAUGAGUGAGUCAUACAACCCAAAACUUCAUUCGAGUGAUUUCUAGGUAGAAAUAGCUUACCUAGCAUUCUACCCCUAAGGGGGGAAAAACUCAAGUGGUUGUACAUUUUGAAUUUGAAUACCACAUUUCUUUCUUUUAUUAUUAUUUUUUUUAACAUAGAGGGCAGUUGAUAAUAGUGUGGAAUGCUGCUGCUUCUGGAGUUGGUAAAUAGGCACCACAGAUUUAUCUUUAAAAGGCUAGGAAAAUAAGGAAAUUUCCAACAUCAAGCUUUCAUGGCUUCCGUGUGGCCACUAGUAAGAGAUUUUAUAAUGCUAGGAACGAGGCCACUUGAAUGCCGCAUGGGGAAUGUUCUUGGUGUCUGGACCUGUGGCAAUUAGAUCACAGAGACAUCAGCAUCCAGGAUGGUUUAUGGCAUAGUUAGAAAUGUGUUUCUAUAGAAAGAGAUGGGAAUGCGGUCAACAUCUGUGAACUGCUGUGGACAGGCAAGGAGCAUUGUGAACCCUUGAUGCUGUGGGUUUGGUCCUUCUCAUUUCCUCCCUCCCUCCCUUCCUUCCUUCCUCCCUCCCUCUCUCCCCACCUUCCUUCCUUCCUUUAUCCCUCCCUCCCUCCCUUUUUUCCUUCCUCCCUUCCCCUCCUUCCCUCCCUUCCUUUCUCCAUCUCUCCAUCCUUCCCUCCCUCUCUUUCUCUUUCUUUUUUAGGUUAUUUGGGUAUAGACAGCUUACUGAUGACACAGCACAUUCAGGUCUUAAGAUUCUUCCUUUCCACUUGGUACCACAUGAACUAUGAACACAAACAGUGAGUGUGUAUGAAAGCUUCCGUGGGAGAAAGCAGAAGCAGAAGGCUUUAAGUUAUUCUCCUGGCUUCAGUUUGUACAGUGAUUUGUCUGUCUUCUGUCUUUCCUUCUGUGUUUCCAAGUUCAAUGUCCAAGUGAUGAGCUUUUCUCCAGGAAUUCUCCCCAGUGUCCUUUGUUUCUGGUGACAUUCUGUGGUUGAAUGUUACCGAGUGUCUCCUGGUCUUGUUUCUGGUCCUCGUAGCGAAGAAUGUCAUUGAAGGAUAAAAAUCUUGUUAAUUUGUGAUGUUCCAAUCUAAGUGUGCUUCGUGUCCCUUACGUGUUAGCCUAAAAUGUUCUUUAAUGUAGCAUGAAAUGAUUGGUUGGCUUGGAAAUGGUUUUGAAGUCGUGUGAAGAAAAUAAGUUUUACAUCCGGCCAAGAUAAAUUCACUCUAGUGCUUUAUGGCUUUUUAUUCCUAUGUGAUCGUAAUAAAGUCUCAUGUAGGGAUGGAAGCCAUGAAAUACAUUGUGAAAAUUCAUCAACUAAGAAGGGGCCAUCAGAAUAGAGAACUAGAGCCUCUGGAACGUGCUGGAGACGUGAGCUAGUGGACAGCUCUGCUACCCUCUUUGGUGUUCCUUGAGUGUCUUCAUCCUUAGGCAUUGACAGCUAAGGAAUGGAGGUUGCAAGAGUUCUGUCAUCUUCCUGACCACCGAUUAACAUGCACAUUUGACUUUGCGCAUUUCUGUCUAUCAUACAUUUUUUCCCCUCCGUUUUUCUACUAAUGAUCAUGCUCUGGAAGAAUGGUUAAUAGCCCACUCACUUGUAGGCAGCAUUCCAACCUUCUGUGACUUUUUCUCGACAACUUUUGAGGUCUUUCUUCUGAAACAAAGAAGAAAUAGACAAACCAGAUUUGUCCUCUUGGAAAUGUGGUCCAGAUUUCUCUACUCCCAAUCUCCAAAAUAAAGGUAUACCUCGCACGGGCUAGCCUCAUACCCAGAUCCAAAGAUUCCAUAACAGUCAUUCUCCCUUUACAGGUGUGGUAGAGUGAAGCUUUGAAGGGGAGGCUGGGUUCUGCUAUCUUCAAGUCAGCUGUGUGACAGGGUCAUGUGAAUUAAACUGGAGGAGUCCAUCCCUUGUCUUUAAAAAUGGGGAGGGGGAGGGGGAGGGGGAGGGAUAAUACCAACAUUGUUAUAAGGAUAAAAUGAAGUAACAUAUCUACACUUUACCUAACAUUAUUUUGCCUUGACUUUGUUUUUAAAAGCUUAUGAAAUACUAGUUUUUCUCCCUUCCCUCCUCCUCCUGUCCCUUUCUCUCUCCCUCCACUACCCUUCCCUUCUUCAGAUGUUAGUCUAUCUAGAACAACACAUUUGGAUCUAAGCUGGACCUUUGAGAAAGAAAAGACUUCGAGGAAAGACACCUUUACAUAUGGUUUAAUUACCUUUUACCUCAAUUGUUUAAUACAAACUAUCCAACUAUAUCCAUCUUUUCUGCUUCUUGUAUAUUUCUUCUUUUGCUUGAACUGUUUCAGUAUUGACUAUUGAAUUACAUAGUCAUUCUGGAUUUUUAAAAAGAGAAUUCUAAUAAAACUUAUAUAUGUUGCUAA